Molecule: ribosomal RNA, 109 nt
Filed under: uncultured bacterium
Lineage: Bacteria
Description: partial 16S ribosomal RNA
Rfam family: Bacterial small subunit ribosomal RNA
Source: RNAcentral
AAUACGUUCCCGGACCUUGCACACACCGCCCGUCAAGCCAUGGAAGCUGGGUGUACCUAAAGUCGGUAACCGCAAGGAGUCGCCUAGGGUAAAACUAGUGACUGGGGCU